RNAcentral lists this ribosomal RNA (425 nucleotides) under uncultured prokaryote. RNAcentral's name for it is "bacterial SSU rRNA". It matches the Rfam family "Bacterial small subunit ribosomal RNA", at positions 355 to 774 of the family's 1533-position model. The record is from RNAcentral.
UCGAGAAUCUUCGGCAAUGGGGGAAACCCUGACCGAGCGACGCCGCGUGCGAGAUGAAGGCCUUCGGGUUGUAAAUCGCUGUCAGUGGGGAGGAAAUGCCGGUGGGUUCUCCCGCCGGUUUGACCUAUCCGCAGAGGAAGGACGGGCUAAGUUCGUGCCAGCAGCCGCGGUAAUACGGACCGUCCAAACGUUAUUCGGAAUCACUGGGCUUAAAGGGUGCGUAGGCGGCCCGGCAAGUUGGGUGUGAAAGCCCUCGGCUCAACCGAGGAAUUGCGCCCAAAACUACCGGGCUAGAGGAAGACAUAGGUGAGCGGAACUUAGGGUGGAGCGGUGAAAUGCGUUGAGAUCCUAAGGAACACCAGUAGCGAAAGCGGCUCACUGGGUCUUUUCUGACGCUGAGUGCACGAAAGCUAAGGUAGCAAACG